CCUACGGAGGCUGCAGUGGGGAAUAUUGGACAAUGGGCGAAAGCCUGAUCCAGCCAUGCCGCGUGUGUGAAGAAGGCCUUCGGGUUGUAAAGCACUUUCAGUGGGGAAGAAAGCCUUGGGGCUAAUACCCUCGAGGAAGGACAUCACCCACAGAAGAAGCACCGGCUAACUCCGUGCCAGCAGCCGCGGUAAUACGGAGGGUGCGAGCGUUAAUCGGAAUUACUGGGCGUAAAGCGCGCGUAGGCGGUCUGAUAAGCCGGUUGUGAAAGCCCCGGGCUCAACCUGGGAACGGCAUCCGGAACUGUCAGGCUAGAGUGCAGGAGAGGAAGGUAGAAUUCCCGGUGUAGCGGUGAAAUGCGUAGAGAUCGGGAGGAAUACCAGUGGCGAAGGCGGCCUUCUGGACUGACACUGACGCUGAGGUGCGAAAGCGUGGGUAGCAAACAGGAUUAGAUACCCCAGUAGUC
This 464-nucleotide ribosomal RNA is filed under the name Vreelandella stevensii. RNAcentral's name for it is "partial 16S ribosomal RNA". It matches the Rfam family "Bacterial small subunit ribosomal RNA", at positions 338 to 795 of the family's 1533-position model. Lineage: Bacteria; Pseudomonadati; Pseudomonadota; Gammaproteobacteria; Oceanospirillales; Halomonadaceae. The record is from RNAcentral.